This 490-nucleotide ribosomal RNA is filed under the name uncultured bacterium. Its description in RNAcentral is "partial 16S ribosomal RNA". It matches the Rfam family "Bacterial small subunit ribosomal RNA", at positions 30 to 507 of the family's 1533-position model. The record is from RNAcentral.
AUUGAACGCUGGCGGCAGGCCUAACACAUGCAAGUCGAACGGUAACAGGAAGACGCUUGCUUCUUUGCUGACGAGUGGCGGGCGGGUGAGUAAUGUCUGGGAAACUGCCUGAUGGAGGGGGAUAACUACUGGAAACGGUAGCUAAUACCGCAUAACGUCGCAAGACCAAAGAGGGGGACCUUCGGGCCUCUUGCCAUCGGAUGUGCCCAGAUGGGAUUAGCUAGUAGGUGGGGUAACGGCUCACCUAGGCGACGAUCCCUAGCUGGUCUGAGAGGAUGACCAGCCACACUGGAACUGAGACACGGUCCAGACUCCUACGGGAGGCAGCAGUGGGGAAUAUUGCACAAUGGGCGCAAGCCUGAUGCAGCCAUGCCGCGUGUAUGAAGAAGGCCUUCGGGUUGUAAAGUACUUUCAGCGGGGAGGAAGGGAGUAAAGUUAAUACCUUUGCUCAUUGACGUUACCCGCAGAAGAAGCACCGGCUAACUCCGUG